CCUACGGGGUGCAGCAGUGGGGAAUAUUGGACAAUGGGCGAAAGCCUGAUCCAGCCAUGCCGCGUGUGUGAAGAAGGCCUUCGGGUGGUAAAGCACUUUCAGUGGGGAAGAAAGCCUUGGGGCUAAUACCCUCGAGGAAGGACAUCACCCACAGAAGAAGCACCGGCUAACUCCGUGCCAGCAGCCGCGGUAAUACGGAGGGUGCGAGCGUUAAUCGGAAUUACUGGGCGUAAAGCGCGCGUAGGCGGUCUGAUAAGCCGGUUGUGAAAGCCCCGGGCUCAACCUGGGAACGGCAUCCGGAACUGUCAGGCUAGAGUGCAGGAGAGGAAGGUAGAAUUCCCGGUGUAGCGGUGAAAUGCGUAGAGAUCGGGAGGAAUACCAGUGGCGAAGGCGGCCUUCUGGACUGACACUGACGCUGAGGUGCGAAAGCGUGGGUAGCAAACAGGAUUAGAUACCCCGGUAGUC
RNAcentral lists this ribosomal RNA (465 nucleotides) under Vreelandella stevensii. Its description in RNAcentral is "partial 16S ribosomal RNA". It matches the Rfam family "Bacterial small subunit ribosomal RNA", at positions 338 to 795 of the family's 1533-position model. The record is from RNAcentral. Lineage: Bacteria; Pseudomonadati; Pseudomonadota; Gammaproteobacteria; Oceanospirillales; Halomonadaceae.